AUUGAACGCUGGCGGCGUGCCUAAUACAUGCAAGUCGAGCGGACGAACGGAGCUCUUGCUCCGCUGACGUUGCGGACGGGUGGGUAAUUCCCACGUAUCUGCCCUGUCUAUAGGGAUGACGUCCGUUAGCGAGCGCGAAGAUCGUACCCGUCAUGAUGUUGAACGGCGUGGUUCAUUGGUGAACGCGCUUUUAGCUGUGCCUUAUUGGUGGUACCGGGCCGGAUUAGCUAGUUGGUAAGGUAACGGCUUACCAAGGCUACGAUGCGUAGCUGACCUGAGAGGGUGAUCGGCCACACUGGAACUGAGACACGGUCCAGACUCCUACGGGAGGCAGCAGUAGGGAAUCUUCGGCAAUGGGCGAAAGCCUGAUGCAGCAACGCCGCGUGAGUGAUGAAGGUCUUCGGAUCGUAAAGCACUUUUAGUAGGGAAGAACAAAAGUGAAAUUAUCCAUGGCUGUCUUGACGGUACCUAAACAGAAAGCAACGGCUAACUACGUG
Molecule: ribosomal RNA, 497 nt
Filed under: uncultured bacterium
Lineage: Bacteria
Description: partial 16S ribosomal RNA
Rfam family: Bacterial small subunit ribosomal RNA
Source: RNAcentral